This 440-nucleotide ribosomal RNA is filed under the name uncultured bacterium. RNAcentral describes it as "partial 16S ribosomal RNA". It matches the Rfam family "Bacterial small subunit ribosomal RNA", at positions 338 to 795 of the family's 1533-position model. The record is from RNAcentral.
CCUACGGGUGGCAGCAGUGGGGAAUAUUGCACAAUGGGGGAAACCCUGAUGCAGCGACGCAGCGUGAGUGAAGAAGUAUCUCGGUACGUAAAGCUCUAUCAGCAGGGAAGAAAAUGACGGUACCUGACUAAGAAGCCCCGGCUAACUACGUGCCAGCAGCCGCGGGAAUACGUAGGGGGCAAGCGUUCUCCGGAUUUACUGGGUGGAAAGGGAGCGUAGAAGGCAGCACAACUAUGGAGUGAAAUUCCGGGGCUUAACCCCGGAACUGUUUUGGAAACUGUGCGGCUGGAGUGCAGGAGGGGUAAGCGGAAUGCCUAGUGUAGCGGUGAAAUGCGUGGAUAUUAGGAGGAACACCGGUGGCGAAGGCGGCUUACUGGACUGUAACUGACGUUGAGGUUCGAAAGCGUGGGGAGCAAACAGGAUUAGAUACCCGAGUAGUC